RNAcentral lists this ribosomal RNA (132 nucleotides) under Megamonas funiformis. Its description in RNAcentral is "partial 23S ribosomal RNA". It matches the Rfam family "Bacterial large subunit ribosomal RNA", at positions 2794 to 2925 of the family's 2925-position model. The record is from RNAcentral. Lineage: Bacteria; Bacillati; Bacillota; Negativicutes; Selenomonadales; Selenomonadaceae.
UUGCCUUAAGAUGAGGUCUCCCGAAGCGAAAGCUUGAAAGACACCUUGAAGAUGACGAGGUUGAUAGGCCAGGAGUAGAAGUUCAGUAAUGAAUGUAGCGUACUGGUACUAAUAAGUCGAGAGCUUAACUUA